RNAcentral lists this transfer RNA (72 nucleotides) under Anaeromicropila herbilytica. It matches the Rfam family "tRNA". From Rfam's summary of the family: Transfer RNA (tRNA) molecules are approximately 80 nucleotides in length. Lineage: Bacteria; Bacillati; Bacillota; Clostridia; Lachnospirales; Lachnospiraceae. The record is from Rfam by way of RNAcentral.
GGCCCGUUGGUCAAGUGGUCAAGAUGUCGCAUUCUCAGUGCGAAGACAGGGGUUCGACUCCCCUACGGGCUG